Long non-coding RNA from Pogonomyrmex barbatus (red harvester ant), 1695 nucleotides. Lineage: Eukaryota; Metazoa; Arthropoda; Insecta; Hymenoptera; Formicidae. The record is from RefSeq and is a predicted model, not a curated record.
ACAAUCUUUGUGACCACUCUUUGUGCGACUUUGCGCUCUUGUCGCGAUCGGUUGCGCUUGUUAUAUCCCUCGUACAUCGGUUACCUUGCGCUUAGUCUUGUCCAUCAUUUCGCGCAAGUAUCUCAUUCUUGGUCGUACGUCCAUUCGUUCGUUCAUUCGUUCGCUCACUCGCGUCGUCGUCGUCGUCGUCGUCGUCGUUGUCGUCAUUGUGCCGAUCAGUGUCGAUCCCCGAAGAAACCGGACAUGAGAAGCAAACCACUCAUCGGAAGUGUAGUGCUAGUGUAGUGUAAUCUUAAUGGAGCGUGCCGACGACGUAUAGCCGACGUACAGCCGCUCUCGUCGUGUUUCUCGUUACUCGCAACAGGCGGAGUGCCGACAACCACGACUUAAGAGAUGGUCAUCGUCACACGGGUAGGUUUAUGCGUAAUCUGCCCUUUUUUAAUCAUUUACCUUGAAACUAUCUGUGCAUUAUUAUUGGUGAUUAUUAUCAUUAUCACUCUGUGUGUGUGUGUGUGUGGGUGUGAGUGGUGUGUAAUACGAUGUUAUGCGAUGUACAUACAUGCGAUAUUUUGACAAAUUUCAUCUAAUUAAACGCGCGACGUUACGCUAGAAUCUUACACAGCAUCUUUCGCUCAUUUUAAAUAACUGAUGAUCUUUUUGUAUAAUUCGUAAUUUAUAAAUAACUUUCAUAUUUCGUCAAUCAUCGAUUGUCGAUAGCGAACAAUCUCCCGCGAGUAAAAAGUGCUGGAGAUUUGCUUGUCAAUGCGCGUCGAUUAAUCGAAUAGCCGAAUGACGAAAUCAAGCAAAUUCAAUGAAGUUGCGUCGAACCGGCGCAAUGUGUGGCAAUCUUUCGCGCGCGAUUUAAUCCAUUACAUUUACCGCUUUCCUCGUCGUUCUCUUCGAACACGGUCAGUAGGAAUCUGUGACGAGUGAAAAUAACCGAACAAGAGUCCUCGUGUUCCCUCGUUGUAAACAAUGAUAUACCGCUAAGUAACGCUAGUCACUUGGACGUGGUCACGAGAAGCGAAUAACGCGACUUAUUCUGUUCCUCAUUUACGCGUUCAAAAGGAAAAUCUUUGAGCUGAAGUAAAAGUUUGAUAGCUGAGCCAAAAAGUUUGAUAUUUCUCGGAAUAUCGUAAAGCUAAGAAUUUAAAUUUAAAAGAAUAUUUGAGAAUUGAGAGACGUUGAAAAGCAUGCCACAGGCGAAAAGCUCGCACCAACGUGCGAUUUAACAUUUCUAAUGUUCAUAAUAUCAAGUACCUUGUAUCAUUCGCGUUCCAGCCCCUCCAACCAAUCCGCCGGAUAACGAGAUGUCUACAGUUCGAAAAAUUGUCCACAUUUAAAUAUCUAACUAAUGUUUCAAAAUAAGACUCGAAAAUAAGACGAACAAAGCUCGCAAAGAAAGGAUCGUUUCGCGAUCGAAUAGGUUGCGUGAACGAGAAAAUCAUGAUCGAUCGUGAUUUAAGAGAGAAGACACGAGAAACGCAUGUUCUUCAGAGAUCUUUAUGAAUCUAAAGCAUAUCGACCGAGCACCGAGGAGAUUGAGGAACGAUAUUCCUUCCGUAUUCAAUAUCGAUUGUAUAAUAUGGACAUUGAUUGUAUAGUCUCCGAUUUCCUUUUGUAUAAUUUAUAAUUUAUAAUUCGUAAUUCCAAGUCAUCACGCGUUAAUCCCGGAUCCGUUGGUCCAGAAAAAAA